AUUGUUAGAGAUAGACGGAAACUCGGUGUAAUAGCUAUCAUUGAUGAUCAUAUUCAAAUUAUGUAAAAAUAAAAGGUAGAUGGGCUUUAAACUGUUUUUACCAAGUCAUAAUCCAUUUACCAUAAAAUCUGCCCUAUAAAGUGUAGAAUUCAGUAACUUGUAGAAUACAGUUAUAAAACCAAAAGCCAUCAUAGCCAGUAAACUUUUCCUGGCGCUGGGGAUCCGUACAUGAGGGGCAAGUGCUCUACUACCAAGCUACUUUCCUACUACCAAAGUCAAUUCUAGAAUAUUUUCUUUAACUCGGAACUUUUGUAGAUUUUCAUGACAGGUUUCUUUCAUUUUACUUGCUUUCUAAGUCCAUUCAGGUGUAACAAAUACUGAAGUAAUUCAUAUUAUUAUGUGGUUGAAUGAUACUGUAUAGAUACAAACAUCUUGUUUAUCUAUCCGUUGGUGGACAUUUAAAAUGCUUGUAUCAUAUUUGUUACAAAUAAUGCUAUACAAUUUUUACACAGACACAUCAACUAUCUCAUAAAGUAGACUUACAGACCAUAUUCCUACCAGCAAUGCACGAAGAGUUCAACUUGUGCAUGUUUGCCAACAUGUGUUACCACGUACAUCUAUGUCCUGAUCUUAGUCUGGGAGGAGAUGCAUUCAGCUUUUCAGUGUACAGUGAGUGUGAGUCCUGGAACACGCACACUGUUGAGAAGGAAGAAGCUCCUCUAGACUGCUCUCCACCUGAAUGGAUGCUGUUUUGCUUGCAUCGGAAGGGGAACUGGGUUCAUGCCAAUACUUAAGGGCCUAUAAAGAUGACCAUGGGGCUCUGGCUCCUUCAUCCCAGUACUAGCUCAAGACCCCUCUUAGUUGUUCUGUAUAAUCAUCUUGAUGUUGCUCGCCAGGACUUGUGAAGAUUCUGUAUCUGUAUUCAUAAAGAACACUGGCCUAUAGUAUCCUAUAGUAUCAAGUCAUUGUGAUGACUGUUUGAUUUAGAUAAAAUACUAACCUGCCUUAAACAUUUCUGAAAUUCACAGGAGAAGCCACCAAGUCUCUCCUUUAUGACAGCUUUCAUUUGUAUGUGUGUCUGCAUGCACACAUUCAUACAACAAUCUCUUUACUUGGCAUUACUUUACUCAGACUAACUUUUUUUCUUUAUUCAUUUUAUUUCUUUUACAUUCUUCUAGAUAUUUGUCUAGUUCAUAUAUAGGACACAUUUUUUGGCAUGCAAUUGUAUAAACCAAUUAUCUUUUUUUUUCUGUAAGACCUUACAUUCUUGAUUUUAGUAUGUAAGACUUUUUGUGUUAAGUGCCUAACCUAUUAGAAAUUUGAUUAUCUUUACAAAAAAAAACUUUGAAUUUGUUUACUUGACUAUCUUUUCUUUCAAUUCUGUCAGCAUGUUGGGUAUUUGGAAAUUGCAGUGUUACAUGAAGACUGGCCUAUUCUUUUAUUAAGAGUUUUUAUUUUAAAAUUAUGUAUAUAUGUGUAUGUCUGCACGGGAGUAUGUGCAUGUAAGUGCAGUUUCCCAUGAAGGCCAGCAACGGAUGUUGGAUCCUCUGCAGUACAAGUUAUAGGCAAAGUUAUAAGCUGUGCAAUAUGGGUGCCAGGACCCAAAAUCAAGUCCUCUCCAAGAGCAUGCUCUUAACCACUGACCCAUCUCUAUAAACCCAAGACUGGUCUUUCCUAUUAUAAAACUGAUACCUCUAGAAACUUAAAGUCUAUAUGUAGUUCAAUUAAACAGAGUGCCACUUGCUUUGAUUACAGUUUGCAUAGCAUACGUUACAACUUUUUAAUCUCAAUAUUUAUAUUACCUAUAUUUUAACAUAUUCAGUAAAGAAUGCGGAGAUACUUGAACAAUCCAAUAAACUGAAAUUAAAAAUCUGAUGAUUCCGCAUCUGUUAGUUGGCACUAAAUAAACUUGCUAACUUUGUUAACUGGGGACUAGUAGAACCAGAGGAUGCUCUAGUUUUACCUGUACCAUUCAGUGCUCUUGCAGCUGACUAUCUGGAAAGGAUCAUUCAUGGAAUAGAAUUGUCAUCCUUAGUUCUAUAUAAACUUUUAUAGCCGUUCCUACAGAAAAUCUGACAAAAGCAGCAGAAUCAUUUGUGAUUACAGAAGCAUAUGCUUGAAAGACCAUCACAAGGGUUUAUCUCUUUGCAUCUCUGUGUUGCUAUAACCAGUUUAGAUCCCAGGGAAAUCCUCAGCUAGAUUCCUUGUCAAGUUCUUCCCAAGUUAAGAGUGAAGAAAUUAUAUACCAAGUACUAAUCUAGAAUAUUUUUUGUUUAGUUUUUUGUUGUUUUUGUUUUGCUUUGUUUCUUUGAGAUAGGGUAUUGCUACAUAGUCCAAGCUGGCCAAAACCUCAAGCAAUCCUCCUGCCUUAGCCUCCUAAGUAUUGGGAGUACAAAUGUGCAAUGUGAUCUCAGUCUUAAUGGUGCUAUUCUUUUAAAAAGAGAGCCCUGUCUGCUUUGUUUAUGUGGCUGGUGUAAAAAUGAAGCUCACCACACAUGGAGAUAGUGACUCCACUAGGUGCCUCAAGUUCAUGGUUCACACACAGUCCAGCAGCUUUCUAAAGCUGAUAGCAUUUGCCACCCUCAGGGGCAUCUUCCUGGGUUUUUCCCUUGUAUGUUUUCCUGAGCCAAAACAAUUUUCUUCAAGGAAUUUUCUUAUUUCCCAUAUCUAUUUUUGAAAUGUUUUUUACUAUCUGUUGGUUAUCAGCUCAAAUCUAAAAGUCAAGAUAUAACAUUUAAAAUCUUUAUCAACUAUUCUAAAAUAUAUAAUCUCAUAUCUUUGAAUUUUUUGUAAAGUAUUUCAAAUACAUAGAAAAGUAUGACGUAUUAUAUUCUUGUCAGCAUCAACUAGACAGUUAAUAUUGACCAAUGAGACUCAGAUACUCUUUGGGUAAGUGUUAAGUUUAUAGGUGUGUGUGUGUGUGUGUGUGUGUGUGUGUGUGUGUGUGUGUGUGUGUGUGUUUGAGAGAAAGGGGGGCGAGGGGGAAUUUGGAGUAUUAUAUUUUUUCAUCAUUAAUAUUCUUCACAUGCAUCUUCGAAUCUUCCUUUGGUUUCUGUCAUUUUGGUUAGCUUAUACAGUCUUAUAAUCUCAACACUAUCCCUGUAUAACAUUCCCUUAGUAUAAAUUCAUGUAACAGAAUGCUGGUACAAAUUAUCCAAGCAUUCUCUGCAUGAAUUACCUAAAAAUCUAUUUCUACUUCCCUACUGUGGAUCAUGUAUACCACAUCCAAUUAUUCAUGCAAAAAAUGCAAGUAACUGUUUUGUGCAUGUGCCUUUACAUACAUGUGUAGAUUUUUCUCAGCACAGUAGCACACAUCUUUCCCAGAACUUGGGAAGUGAAGGAAGAAAGAUCAAGAGUUUACGGCCAACCUCUAGUAUCUAGUAAGUUUGACAUCAGUCUUGUCUUGUAACUUCCGAUAACCCCAUCAAAACAGAGUACCAGCAGUAUAUGAAAGACCUGAUUUCACUGCUGCACAAGUCUUUUGAUGCAAAGCUAGUUAAUAUUUACUUUCUUGUUAAGUUUUGUUUUAUGGUUCCUGAGAUCAUACCCAAACCCUCACUGGGUUUUAAUAUGCAUUUUCUUCCUUUAAAGCCUAAUUCCAACCUCCCUUCUUUCCUCAAACCUUUAAUCCACCCAAUGACUUUACUCCUGGAGGAGAGGGUUCUUUCUUGGUGUACAGCAAUCUGUGGCUCUACUCUCACUAAACACAACUGCAUUCUGGGUACGCGAAGCAUUCAUACACCCAUCAAGGCCUCUAGCCACUUUAGUUUCUGGGUUACAUGGUCUAGAAGAUGAUUAAGGGUCCACAACAUAUCUAAAGAUACAUAUGAAACCCUGAGAGUGAUAUCUACUGCCUACAGAAUGGGAGUAUUAUUUAUGCAUUCUCCCAAGAGGGGGUCAUAAAAGUUAAUUCCAGCCUUAAAAUCCUGAAAUAGGAAAACUAUUAUUUCUAGUAGACUCAAGUAUUAGUAAGUAAUAAGCAGUUUUGGCAUUCAAUAUGAUGUGCUGAUUUAUAACUAUGCACUUGGGAGACAUCAUUAUUUAUUUAGAAAUUGUAUUUAGGAUCCUUAUACAUUACCUGAUAGCAGUUACCUUUGUACAUGCUUCUGAGAUUGACUUGUGAACCAAUUCCUAAUAAAAGAAUAUUUUAAGAAAUAUUUUUCUAACUGCCUUGUUAUUUAACCUAACUACAGGCAAAAUUUAAUAUCAUUAGAACAAGAAUCAACAAUUUUUACACAGAGAUAGUAUGUAUAUAGAUAUGUAUGCAGCUAAUGUUUUAGGGGAAGGAGAACAACUGAACCUUUACUAUAAAGUAUGUAAUAUUGACAGAUUUGGUCUAAACCAUGUGUAUAAUGUUUCUUACACAGUAUGAUUACAUAUUAAUGAAUGACACUGAGAUGGUGUCUGUAUGUGCACGCACAUGCACGUGCACAUGCAUGUAGGGGUAUGCGAAGAUGCAUAUGCUUACACAUGUAAGUAGAAGUCAGAGAAUAACUUCAAAUAUCAUUCCUCAGGCACCAUUCCUUAAAAAAAAAAAAAAAGGAAAGAAGGACAGAUGGACGGACAGACAGGAAGUCUCCUCAACCACCUAGAACUCAGCUAAGUUGACUGAUCUUGAGAUGCAAAACUAAAUUGAUGCUGGAGCUGGAGAAAACUCAAGGGUCAAGAAAGCUGACUGUUCUUACUGAAGAUGCAAAUUCAGUUCUCAGCUCCCACAUGGUGGCUCACAAUGGUCAUCAUUUUAGCUUCAGGAGAGCUGGCACCCUCUUCUGACCUCUAUAAGCACCAGGAAUGCACAUGGUACACAUACACAUGCCUGCAGUUAAGCACUCAUACACAUAAAACAGAAUUUUUUAAAUGUUAAAUUACUUUGUAUGUCUCAGAUUUCUUUAAUGUACGAAUGUCUAGCUAUAAACUUGUCUUUGAAAUGUUUUCAUUAGGAGCUAGGGCAUGGGUCAGUGGGUAACAUGCUUGUUGAACAAGCAUAUGGUCAUGGGUUUAAAUCCCCAGCACCCACCUGAAAACCAAGCAUGGCAAUUUGUCAGUAACCUUGACACUGGGGAACAAAGACAAGUAGAUGCAGAUCCCAGUAGUUCCCUGGUUAACCAAUUUGGCAAAAACAGCUAGUUGAGGUUCAGUGAGAUCCUGUCUUGAAAACUAAGGUCAGGAGACAAGGUAAGGGAAGGUAAGGAAGGACACUGGAUACCUGCCUCCAGACCCCAGUUGCAUACUCAUGAACAAGUACAACUGCACACAUAUACAGACCCACCCACACAUAACCAGAGGAAUGCUUUCAUUGGCUCCAUAGGUUUUUAUAUCUUGUGGCUUGUUUUUUUCAUUCAAUUAUAGGAUUUUUUUUAAUUUUCCUUAUUUUUUAAAUGAUUCAUGCAGUACUGUGCUGCUCCAUGAUUCUGUGUACAUUCAGUAAUUUUUCAUGCUGUUGAUUACUAGCUUUAUUAAACUGUAAUCAGUUAAAGCACAAGAAAGUAUUUCAAUUUUCUUAUAUUCUUUAGAUUUUCUUUGUGCUCUAAAAUAUGACCCUUUUCAAAAAAUGUUCCAUGAGCAUCUGAGAAAAAAUGUAUAUUCUGCAAUGCUUGGGUACAAUAUUCUGUUGAUGUCUGUUAAGUCCAUUUGAUCUAUAAUAUCACUUAACUCUAUUUCUUUGUUGAUAUUUUUGUCUGUUUGCGUGAAUGGCCUACCAAUUAGAGUAAGAAACUCAAGUAACUACUGCCAUGGUACUGAGGUCAAUCUGUGCCUUUAUAGCUCAAUAGUGUUUGCCUUAUGAAAUAGGGUAUAUUCAUACUCAGGAGCUGUACAUUUAGAAUUGAAGUAUCUGUCAUCUUGAGGAACUGUCCCCUUAAAUAACAUGACUGUCUUUAUCACAAUUUUGGUUUGAAGUCUUUGUGCAGGAAUAUUAUUUCCUAUAUCCACUUGCUUUCUAGGUGUAUGUACUUACUUGGAAUCUCUUUUUCCCUUUUAACCCAGGACUGUGCUUAGCGUUGACAGUUAUGUGUGUUUCUGGUAUACUACACAUAGAUGGGUCUGGUAUACUAUACAUAGAUGGGUCUGGUAUACUACACAUAGAUGGGUCUGGGCUUCUUUGUUGUGGUUUUGUUGCUUGAGACAAGUCUAUGUAUCCCUGGCUGUCCUGAACUCAAAAAAGCUCUCCUGCUUCUGCCUCCUGAGUGAUAGGGUUAAAAGUGUGAACUACCAUAACUUGCUUGGGUCCAGUGUUUUAAUCCAACCUACAGGUCAUUAUUUUCUAAUUAGAAACUAGGAGCAUUCAGUAUUGAAAGGCAUACAUUAACUCCUGUCAUUUGGGUACUUUUUUUUUUUUUGGUCAUAUCUAGUACUUUCCUAAUCAUUUGGUUAUCAACCUAGUGGGACAGUCUCUCCAUAUAGCUUCAUGAAUGUUUCUCUCUCUAUUCAGUGUAUAAUUCCCUUAAGUAUCUUCCCUAAUGCUUCAUUAGUAGUCAUGAGUUCCUUUAUCAUAGAAACUUUUCCCUUCUUUAAUUAUUAAGGAUACCUUUGCUGAGUAUAGUAAAUCUUGGUUGGCCACUACUGUCUUUGAG
This is a non-coding RNA of Rattus norvegicus (Norway rat), 6572 nucleotides long. The record is from RefSeq and is a predicted model, not a curated record. NCBI's taxonomy places the organism in Eukaryota, Metazoa, Chordata, Mammalia, Rodentia, Muridae.